GCGACCCCAGGUCAGGCGGGCCAC
This 24-nucleotide ribosomal RNA is filed under the name Kerriodoxa elegans. RNAcentral describes it as "partial 26S ribosomal RNA". Lineage: Eukaryota; Viridiplantae; Streptophyta; Magnoliopsida; Arecales; Arecaceae. The record is from RNAcentral.